RNAcentral lists this unclassified non-coding RNA (402 nucleotides) under fungal sp. RNAcentral describes it as "partial internal transcribed spacer region". The stretch from base 1 to 46 matches the Rfam family "Eukaryotic small subunit ribosomal RNA", at positions 1786 to 1831 of the family's 1831-position model. Lineage: Eukaryota; Fungi. The record is from RNAcentral.
AAGUCGUAACAAGGUUUCCGUAGGUGAACCUGCGGAAGGAUCAUUAACACGUAUCCACGUAUCAAACUAAACCCGUGAACCAAACCUUCCCUAAUCAUCUGGAAUAGAUGCUCAUAUUAGUAAUCCGUGAUGGUGUAUGUUUCGGCAUACAGGUGAACACAUGAGCUAGUAAGCCAAAUUUCGAUUUGUGACUUACAGUCUAUUCUGAUGAUUGGGCCUAUUGACACUUGAGCCACAUCAUUCCAGCUCCAUUCAUGAUGGAUGAUGCUGUGCGCAAGUGCGACAACACACCUUAUUCACCAUAACAACCCACAUUUGACUGAUUAUACAGUGGAAGGUAACACUUCCUACUGAGAUUAUCUAAACUAAGCACAACUCUUAGCAAUGGAUAUCUUGGUUCUC